CUCUCUCUCUCUCUCUCUCUCUCUCUCUCUCUCUCUCUCUCUCUCUCUCUCUCUCUCUCCUUCCAUUCCUCAUUCCUUCACCUGUUUCCAAGGCAACUAAUGAGAUAUAAUUAAUAAGAUCUACCGAAUGGAGGGGAUGGGCUGUGUGCAGAAAUGAGUGAGACGGAGGCUUCAAACAGAGAGUGUGAAUUCAGGCGGAACAAUGUAAAGUGGCGCGUCUAUCUUCCGCAUUUAGGACUGUUCACACAUGUUCACACAUGUUCACAAAGCUCCCUGUAGCAAAUGUAGCUGAAUAGAAUGAUAAAACCCACGGAUUUGAAACACAUUCAAACAGAUUUUACAAGAUUAACAAAUAAGUAAAAAAAUAAAUAAAAAAUUUCUUCUCUUCAGAUUUUCUUCGGUACAUUUGUAUCAAUGCAUUAGGGUUAAACAGGUCUAGGUUUGUGUUUGACAUCUAACAUAUCUAAAGCUCUACACCGAAGUGUGAAUUCUUGCACUUCAGAUCUUUAAAAACCUGUGAGAAAAUGUUAACAGUAUUUUGUUUACAGGGGUCAAAGGGGACAUUCUGAAAAAAAAAUCACAGAAUAAAACCUUUAUUUAGCAGAUAGAAAUCAAGAGAUUCUAUUAUGAGGCAAAAUUUCCUCAUUCUUACAUGUGUGAUGCGACCCAUGGUAUCUUUGCUUCCUUUGGAUAAAUUGUGAUUUCAUGUAUAUGUGGUGGGUGUAGCUGAGGGAACAGGGAAGGAUGAGGUUUGGUUCAAAAUAGCACGGUAUCAUUUCUCCAAACCGGACAGAAAUAGGUCCUGACAGCAUUUCCUCACACACAGAGUGUGUGUGUCUAUUAAGGAGGAAAUCUCAAAACCUAUAAACUAAUGGUUUCAUGAAGCAGGGCCUGUGUCCUUCCCUGGUGUUAAUACAGAGGUGUGUCUGAGACCUAGAGCUUUUUAUUCUCAGAAACUGUAACACCACAAUGACAGCAAACUUCCUAAACCAGUUGCAGCGACAGUUUUACAGUCGGCCCUGCCGACUUUCACCACUGAGAGUGCAAACAGCAAGUGGCUAAUCUCUGCCAGCAAGUGCCAACUCACUCCAGUUCUCCACUAAACUCCAGUUCUCCACUAAAAAUGCUGUAAUCCCAGGCCGGAUUAAUGCUGGUUCAGGCGAAUGCCUCUCCUGCCAGUAAAAGUCCUCAACCAGCUACGCAGCAGGACAGAAAGCCACUUAUCACUUCCAAAAUGCCAUUGCCACAUUCAAAACUCCCAAGAUGGACAAGUCCCCCAGCUGCCUGAUAUACAGAGCCUGAGAGCUGAUGAUCACAUACAACAAACCACUGAGCAAACUAUUGGCAUUGGCCAUGGAUAGUUUUUGCAGUGAACUCUGCUUGCAAAUUAUAUUUUAUUGCAGAUACCUGUAACAAAAUAAAUACUGAAUGUAGA
Long non-coding RNA from Tachysurus fulvidraco (yellow catfish), 1435 nucleotides. RefSeq lists it as uncharacterized. The transcript has 2 exons. NCBI's taxonomy places the organism in Eukaryota, Metazoa, Chordata, Actinopteri, Siluriformes, Bagridae. The record is from RefSeq and is a predicted model, not a curated record.